This 171-nucleotide non-coding RNA is filed under the name Bacillota bacterium. RNAcentral describes it as "6S RNA". It matches the Rfam family "6S / SsrS RNA". From Rfam's summary of the family: E. coli 6S RNA was the first non coding RNA to be sequenced, but its function was unknown until recently. It consists of 184 nucleotides that fold into an extended hairpin structure with a large single-stranded internal bulge. The 6S RNA specifically associates with RNA polymerase holoenzyme containing the sigma70 specificity factor. The record is from RNAcentral. Lineage: Bacteria; Bacillati; Bacillota.
GAUUGUCUAAAGGUAGAGUUAUUAUAAUAAAUCUACAAAAUAUGACAUUGGGAAUUUAAUUUGUAAAUGGUGUUGAACGCUCAAUGCUUUAUACUGAGAAUCCUAAAGUUUACAAUGUAAUGCCCACUUUGAAUCUGGGUUUUAUCCUAGAAAACUCACUUUAGAUAAAAA